GACGAACCACACAAACGUUAUUCGGGAUUACUGGGCUUAAAGGGUGCGUAGGCUGUGCGGAAAGUUGGGUGUGAAAGCCCCCGGCUCAACCGGGGAAUUGCGCCCAAAACUACCGUGCUUGAGGAAGACAGAGGUGAGCGGAACUUCGGGUGGAGCGGUGAAAUGCGUUGAUAUCCGAAGGAACACCGGUGGCGAAAGCGGCUCACUGGGUCUUUUCUGACGCUGAUGCACGAAAGCUAGUGGAGCAAACGGG
This 253-nucleotide ribosomal RNA is filed under the name uncultured bacterium. RNAcentral describes it as "partial 16S ribosomal RNA". It matches the Rfam family "Bacterial small subunit ribosomal RNA", at positions 524 to 776 of the family's 1533-position model. The record is from RNAcentral.